GAUGAACGCUGGCGGCGUGCCUAAUACAUGCAAGUCGAGCGAACAGACGAGGAGCUUGCUCCUCUGACGUUAGCGGCGGACGGGUGAGUAACACGUGGAUAACCUACCUAUAAGACUGGGAUAACUUCGGGAAACCGGAGCUAAUACCGGAUAACAUGUUGAACCGCAUGGUUCAACAGUGAAAGACGGUCUUGCUGUCACUUAUAGAUGGAUCCGCGCCGCAUUAGCUAGUUGGUAAGGUAACGGCUUACCAAGGCAACGAUGCGUAGCCGACCUGAGAGAGUGAUCGGCCACACUGGAACUGAGAAACGGUCCAGACUCCUACGGGAGGCAGCAGUAGGGAAUCUUCCGCAAUGGGCGAAAGACUGAAGGAGCAACGCCGCGUGAGUGAAGAAGGUCUUCGGAUCGUAAAACUCUGUUAUUAGGGAAGAACAAAUGUGUAAGUAACUAUGCACGUCUUGACGGUACCUAAUCAGAAAGCCACGGCUAACUACGUG
RNAcentral lists this ribosomal RNA (497 nucleotides) under uncultured bacterium. RNAcentral's name for it is "partial 16S ribosomal RNA". It matches the Rfam family "Bacterial small subunit ribosomal RNA", at positions 28 to 507 of the family's 1533-position model. The record is from RNAcentral.